This 932-nucleotide ribosomal RNA is filed under the name Bacillus amyloliquefaciens. Its description in RNAcentral is "bacterial SSU rRNA". It matches the Rfam family "Bacterial small subunit ribosomal RNA", at positions 56 to 969 of the family's 1533-position model. The record is from RNAcentral. Lineage: Bacteria; Bacillati; Bacillota; Bacilli; Caryophanales; Bacillaceae.
UGCAGUCGAGCGGACAGAUGGGAGCUUGCUCCCUGAUGUUAGCGGCGGACGGGUGAGUAACACGUGGGUAACCUGCCUGUAAGACUGGGAUAACUCCGGGAAACCGGGGCUAAUACCGGAUGGUUGUCUGAACCGCAUGGUUCAGACAUAAAAGGUGGCUUCGGCUACCACUUACAGAUGGACCCGCGGCGCAUUAGCUAGUUGGUGAGGUAACGGCUCACCAAGGCGACGAUGCGUAGCCGACCUGAGAGGGUGAUCGGCCACACUGGGACUGAGACACGGCCCAGACUCCUACGGGAGGCAGCAGUAGGGAAUCUUCCGCAAUGGACGAAAGUCUGACGGAGCAACGCCGCGUGAGUGAUGAAGGUUUUCGGAUCGUAAAGCUCUGUUGUUAGGGAAGAACAAGUGCCGUUCAAAUAGGGCGGCACCUUGACGGUACCUAACCAGAAAGCCACGGCUAACUACGUGCCAGCAGCCGCGGUAAUACGUAGGUGGCAAGCGUUGUCCGGAAUUAUUGGGCGUAAAGGGCUCGCAGGCGGUUUCUUAAGUCUGAUGUGAAAGCCCCCGGCUCAACCGGGGAGGGUCAUUGGAAACUGGGGAACUUGAGUGCAGAAGAGGAGAGUGGAAUUCCACGUGUAGCGGUGAAAUGCGUAGAGAUGUGGAGGAACACCAGUGGCGAAGGCGACUCUCUGGUCUGUAACUGACGCUGAGGAGCGAAAGCGUGGGGAGCGAACAGGAUUACAUACCCUGGUUAGUCCACGCCGUAAACGAUGAGUGCUAACUGUUAGGGGGUCUUCCGCCCCUUACUGCUGCAGCUAACGCAUUAAUCACUCCGCCUGGGGAGGACGGACCCAGGACUGAAACUCAAAGGAAUUGACGGGCGCCCGCACAACCGUUGGACCAUGUGGUUUAGUUCGAGGCAGCCGAAGAAC